CUCCGGGGAUAACAGGCUGAUACCGCCCAAGAGUUCAUAUCGACGGCGGUGUUUGGCACCUCGAUGUCGGCUCAUCACAUCCUGGGGCUGAAGUAGGUCCCAAGGGUAUGGCUGUUCGCCAUUUAAAGUGGUACGCGAGCUGGGUUUAGAACGUCGUGAGACAGUUCGGUCCCUAUCUGCCGUGGGCGCUGGAGAAUUGAGGGGGGCUGCUCCUAGUACGAGAGGACCGGAGUGGACGCAUCACUGGUGUUCGGGUUGUCAUGCCAAUGGCACUGCCCGGUAGCUAAAUGCGGAAGAGAUAAGUGCUGAAAGCAUCUAAGCACGAAACUUGCCCCGAGAUGAGUUCUCCCUGACUCCUUGAGAGUCCUGAAGGAACGUUGAAGACGACGACGUUGAUAGGCCGGGUGUGUAAGCGCAGCGAUGCGUUGAGCUAACCGGUACUAAUGAACCGUGAGGCUUAACCUUACAACGCCGAAG
RNAcentral lists this ribosomal RNA (477 nucleotides) under Escherichia coli. Its description in RNAcentral is "partial 23S ribosomal RNA". It matches the Rfam family "Bacterial large subunit ribosomal RNA", at positions 2466 to 2925 of the family's 2925-position model. Lineage: Bacteria; Pseudomonadati; Pseudomonadota; Gammaproteobacteria; Enterobacterales; Enterobacteriaceae. The record is from RNAcentral.